AACCGCGGUCAUACGAGUGCCGCCCAAGUGGACAAUCAACGGCGUAAAGCGUGGUUAAGGCCCCCCACCAACUAAAGCAAAACCCCACCAAGGCCGUUAUACGCAUCCGAUCGGGUGAGACCCCACUACGAAAGUAACUUUAACUCAACCUGAACCCACGAAAGCUGAGAAA
Molecule: ribosomal RNA, 172 nt
Filed under: Benthosema suborbitale (smallfin lanternfish)
Lineage: Eukaryota; Metazoa; Chordata; Actinopteri; Myctophiformes; Myctophidae
Description: partial 12S rRNA
Source: RNAcentral